RNAcentral lists this ribosomal RNA (167 nucleotides) under Epizoanthus aff. Corallizoanthus tsukaharai TDS-2010. RNAcentral's name for it is "partial 18S ribosomal RNA". It matches the Rfam family "Eukaryotic small subunit ribosomal RNA", at positions 1668 to 1831 of the family's 1831-position model. The record is from RNAcentral. Lineage: Eukaryota; Metazoa; Cnidaria; Anthozoa; Zoantharia; Epizoanthidae.
ACCGCCCGUCGCUACUACCGAUUGAAUGGUUUAGUGAGGCCUUCUGAUUGGCGCCGCCGCGCCGGCAACGGAGCAGCGGAUGUCGAAAAGUUGGUCAAACUUGAUCAUUUAGAGGAAGUAAAAGUCGUAACAAGGUUUCCGUAGGUGAACCUGCGGAAGGAUCAUUA